UGCGGCCCGUGGACCGGGGACACAGAAGACACUGCUACGCCUCUAGCACCUAGCACAAUGCCUGGUCAGGGAAUGCAGGAAUGAACAGUGUUUGCCGCGGAAUCCAGAAUCUCCAGCACUGGCAGCUCCAUCCGCGUGACCGAACCCUGUCCUUCUCCAUCUUACACAGGGGAUUCUGGGCUGCUGUGAGGUCGGGCUUGGCCACAUCCAUCUCCACGUGGACCUGCUGCUGAGCCAGCUGCUCCUGGAGCUCCCGCACCUCCUGGCCAGGGGCUUCAGUGUCCUCCUCUGUGAAAAGGAGAUAACACUGGAAUGGUCCCUAUCUCACACGGCUGUAGUGAAGAAAAACAGGAGGCAACAAGGCCUAUUGUAAUUCUCAGGUGCCCAGGUCCUGCGCCAGAUUGUCCCUCUCCACCUCGAGCCGGGCGCUGUUGGCGGAAGCGCACCUUCUCGAUGUAGCUGGCGAAGCGGUCAUUGAGCUCCAUCAUCUCCGCCCGCUCACUGGCCCGGGUCUCCUUGAAGCUGGAGUUGAGCGCCCCGGCCAAGGAGAAGUCCACCCGGGCCGGGAGUGCAGGCGGCAUUCGAGCCAGGGACAGGCGGGUGCCAGGACCCAGGCGGCGGCCCCCCACCCCCAUCUCUGAGGAGGAGACAUAGGAGCGGCGAGCCACUGAGGUGACCCGUCUCCUCUCCAUCCUGUCCUGGCUCUGCCUGCUCCUGGGAUGUGCUGGCUUUAUGGAGGAGGACCUGGCCUGGCCCGGCCCAGGCUGCCCCUGGCAACACCCCCUGGCAUAGCCUAAGUGGGUGGGGCUGGGCCGCAGCCCAGCCAUGGGGAGAGUGCCUCUCAUGCCCACCGAGGUCACUGUGCCCAGAGACAGGGCCUCCUGAGCAUGCCAGCCCCAGCCUGGCUCCAGACAGAGGUGCUAGUGGGCAGUUCCUGGGGCCGAUGCUGCGUCUGGGGCCCUGACCACUGGACAAGGAGACCCUUUCACUGGGACGGUGGGUCAAGGAAGGGCUGGACCAGAUGACCUCUGACCUGUCUUCUAACUUUUAGAUCCUAUGACCCAGGCCUUUCCUCACUCAGCAUUCUCAGGCACACUGAGUGCCUGUUAGAUGCUGGGAAUCUGGUGGAAGACAAACCUGUUCCACAUCUUCAAGGAACAGCCUAUGUUACAGUUUCCUGCCAGCCUCAUUCCCAACAGAUUCCUGGAGUCCUCCCCUCUGAAUACAGGUGUUCUGCAUUCCUGCUUUCUCCCCAUCUGCAGGUGCGGGGCUGUGGGCCGGAAUUAGAACCCGCCCUUUGUCUGGAGGGUCAGUCAAUUGAGGCCUAUGUCUAGCAGUGGGGGAAUGAUGGAAGGAACGUGGAGCCCCUUACAGGGUCACACCGUGAUGCACAUCUGCCUCAGGCAGACACAGCUCCCGGCCUCCACCUCUACCCGCCUCCUCCCAGCCUGACUCAGGCCCCAUUCUCUGUGGCGCCUCCUCUCCUGCUUCCCCAAUCUGAGGGCCUCAUCAUCCAAAGCCUUGGGCCAGUUCCUAGACUGACUUCCGGACUAGACGGCAGAACGCUGCGGGUCCCAAGAAGAGGAUGCCUGGACACCCUUCCACACGGCCUUCGGCCAAGCUGCGCCCCACUGCAAGCCGAGUUGGGGACAAGAUGACCUCCCACUCCCUGUGCCCAUCUUCUACGUCAGAACUUGCCAGGAUGCCCUCCUGCCUACAAGGCCCAAGUUGAUCCCAGGAUAGAUCAACACGUCACCCGGCCUCAACCUGCACGCAAGGUGCCCAGUGUUUUCCAAACCUGCCAGCCUCUAAUUCAAGGGGCCCUUUUGUCCCUUGACUGCUGCCCACUGACUCCGCUUGUGCUCCUGCCACUCUCCCAGUGCCUGGCACAGCACGGUGAUCAACAAGAAUGAGUGGGAUGGAGAGAACAUGGAUCUCUGACCAGUCCGUCCGCUCAGUGACCCAUCUCUGAGGAAGGAAACUGGCCACUAGAUGGCAGUGCUGAGCUGACCAGGUCCGAGUGGCCUGGUGGACAUAGCCCUUUGGAGGCAGGAAGAAAGUUGGUCUCACAGCUCUAGGCAGGCUUUCUAAAACCCAAAUGUGCGUCACUUAGAAGGCUCACUAGAACUGCCUCUGACUGCUGUGGCAGUGCUGUCUAGGGGAGAGAGCAAGGCCAUGGCCACUCAAUAGCUGUAUGAUCUUGGAUGACUCAGGAACCUUCUCUGAGUCUCCAUUUCCCCAUCUGUAAAAUGAGGUCUAGACAUAUUUACUUCCAAGGUAGUUGUGAGAUAAAAAUCAGUGAAAAGCCGGACACAGCAGGUGCUCGACAAAUCCUAGCUUCCAUUUAAUAACACCUGCCAGGUGCUUCACCUGUUUCCAUGUUAGCGCAUCUGUGAUGGGGUGGACCUGGGGGGCUGGGAGCUGGGUCUUCCAGGGGAGCGGCCAUGUCCUGUUGACUCCAUUGGGGUUGGGGCAGGGACAGCAUGUGGGCAGGCCCCCCCUGCAAAGGGCAGUUACCUGGCAAUGUGGACAGGAUGUGGGGAGGGGGCAGCACCCUUUGCCCCCAGAUCACUAGUUGUUUGUGGCUUUGGGUCUCCCAGGGGACAUGUGAGAGUUAUGUCCCCCUGUUCUGGAGGAGACUCAGAGUACAGGCUGUCUCCCAGCCUGCUUGCUCUCCUCCCUGACUCCCACAGUGGGCUCUGUCGCUCCAUCCUUGCCCUUCCCCAGCCCUUGUGGGCUUGAGACCCACAGCUCCAUUGGCUUGAGAACCCCUUGGUGUGUCAACAUCUCCCAUGGGUGCGAGUCUCUUCUGCACUUUAGCCUGAGGCUUCCCAAGGACAAGACCCCCUGAAGAUGGGGUCCUCCCGAUGCUAGACCUAUGUUUUCCCAUCAGACUGGGAUGCACCUAAGGGUAUGGUCUGUCUCCCCCUUCAGACUCAGGCACCCACAGGACAGGAGCUGCCCUUUCCCCUUGGAUGGGAGCCAGCUAAUGGGAGAACCCAUGGUUCACUGUCAGCUGGGAGCUCCCUGAGCGCAGGGGUCUCCCCUUUCUGUUGGAGGACGGUUGGAGGAUGGCUGCCUCCAGCCAGGGAUGGUUCCUUCUCCGGUCCUGAGCCUGUGUCCAUCCAGCUCUGUCGGCUAGAAGCGCCCGACUCCUGUGGCUGCAGAAGGGCUCCUGGCUGAACCCCUGGACUCCUUCCCCUUCGCUUCCCCAGCCCCUCAGCCGCUGGAGGCAUCAGCUCAUUCACCUUCACAGACCCAGGGGCCAGGCUGCUGUGUUGGGGUUAAUAAGCUCGGGGCCUUGCUCUACUCCUGCCUCCCCACCCAGCCAAGGGCCGCUCAAGCCUGCCCCCGGCCUCUAACCCUGAGACCAGCUCUUUAAUUGCUUUCCUUGGUCUGCUCUGCUCCCUGCUCCCUUCUGUCUCCCUGCCUGACUGUGUCCCUUUGGGAGGGUGAGAGGCGGGGACCAGAUGUGUCCCUGGAGGGAGGAGAGGGCUGACCGGUGGCCUGUUAUUUCCAAUCCAGUGGUCCUUCAAAUGGGCAGGAUGAGCCGGGGGUAGGGCUGCGGGUGAGCCCAGGGGAGCUCUGGGGUGAGCUAGAAAACACAGCCAUGGUCUCCAGGCUCUUGGGUACGACUCUGGUCCCUUCCUCCACCCACAAACUCCAUCCCAAGACUUUCUAGGUCCCUAUUCACAAAAGAACUGUGGAGAAGGGGAAGAUAGCCAGAAAUUAGACUGUCUGGGAAGCAGGAUCCCCCAAACCUAGCCAAGAGCCAAAGAGACAUUCUGGGGGAAACUGGAGGCAGAUGAGCAAGGGUCUGGGAGGCAGGAUGCCUGAGUUAGCAGCUGCCAGGGAGGAAGGAUCCCCAUGGGGUGAGGAUGUCCCCUGUGGGUGCCAAGCUGAUGGCUGGCGGUGGGAGGACCCAGUGGGAAAAGCCCAGUCCCUUCCUCUUGACACAUCCUAACACUGACGGAGGUUUGGUUUACUCUCAGGUGACAAGGACUCCAUCCUGACUCUGUGUGAAGGGACCAUGUCUUGUUCUGUGUCUGCAGCUCCUGGCACUGAGCCUGAUUCUCUGAACUGGGCAGGAAUUUGUGCCCCCGGUGUGGGGCCCAGACCUGAGCUUCGGGGCCUGGAGUGGGUGCAAAGAGCCUGGGAAGAGAGGACGUCUAAACUCCCUGAAGUAGAGGGAGGGGCUCUGCGUAGGCCCUCAAGGCGGAAGAGGCAGGCUGAAGCCGGGAGGGGGAACCUAGGGCAGUGGACGGGGGAGCCAUCUAUUGCCGCCUCUGGCGGAUGACUCUAUAUGAGAACAAUCCAAUCUCAGAGCCUCAUCACUGCCCACGGAGGUCAGCUGGGAGCCGGCCGUCAGCUCGCUGCCCCCCUCAGCCCCUGCCAGCUCCCUGGACCAGCCAGGCUGCCUCCUUGUGAGCGGCCCAUCUCAGCCCAACCUCCCGUGAUUGAGGGCAGGAGCCACGUGUGCUUAACUCCAUUGGCAGAGUCUUUGUACAUUUAAUGGGUCACCCGAGAGCACAUUUUGCACCACGGAGCCACAAAUGUUUGCUGAGCGAAUGGUCAGCUGCAGAACAUCCUUGUCAAGAGUGACCUCUUCCCCUUGCAAGCUGCCCCCAGCCCUCGUGCAACGGAGCCUGUUGGGUGAAGCUUGCCCUCCUGGCCCUGGUUACCAGCCACCUUGCCCUGUGCCUGCUGCCUCUGCGCCUGCAGGGGUGAUGGUGACGAUCAAAUGAGAUAAUAGAUGUGAGGGCCCCAGGAAAUGAGGAACUUAUUCAAUUUGGAUCCAACCAGCAUGCGGCGAGGUCUCCUGAGGUCAAAGGUACCACACCAAGCCGUUGGGGGCUACAGAUGUGAGGCGGUGACUGCUUCUGUGGGGAUCAUGGUACCCAGGGGAAGGAAACUCAUGAAGACUAAUUGGAGAGGAGGAAAUUCCCGGCACGCGGAAAGAAACGAUGUCUGUUCACUUCUAAACAGAAGCAGCUUGGUGUCACGUGUGCGACCAGAUCCUGGUCUGAGUCCUGGCGCUGCCACUUGCCGUCUUAACUCCGGGCACAUUUUGUUAACCUUUUUGUCUAUUUCCUCAUUAUACCUCAUAAGGUCGUGAAGUCGUGUGAGAUGCCUGCAGCCGGUAGGAAUGCGGCGCUCCCCUCUGUGCUCUCCACUCCUCCAAAAAGGCAUGGAAACUGAGCGGGGAGGGGUGCCCCAGGUAGAGGGGGAGGUUGCUUGCCCAGAGCAGCAGAGGCCUCACUUGAAAUUAGCGACAUUGUUUACACACUACUCACAAAGUGCUAAAUGCCUUUUACGUGUUUGUUUUCAGAAGCAAUUUAAACACAGACUCCUGGAAUUUUGGUUAUGCCAUUCGUUCAUGCAGCCAGCCACGUCUUCCUGGGGAAAAAGAGGGUAAAAACGAUAAACUCUCUUCAUUUGGAAAUCAAGGCACCACCAUCAUCUGCAUCAUCGCCAGGACUGUGGCAUGGGGUUGGGGCUCUUACUCCAGGC
This is a long non-coding RNA of Aethalodelphis obliquidens (Pacific white-sided dolphin), 5511 nucleotides long. RefSeq lists it as uncharacterized. The record is from RefSeq and is a predicted model, not a curated record. The transcript is spliced from 7 exons. Lineage: Eukaryota; Metazoa; Chordata; Mammalia; Artiodactyla; Delphinidae.